Molecule: unclassified non-coding RNA, 173 nt
Filed under: uncultured Trichoderma
Lineage: Eukaryota; Fungi; Ascomycota; Sordariomycetes; Hypocreales; Hypocreaceae
Description: sequence contains ITS2
Source: RNAcentral
CAACCCUCGAACCCCUCCGGGGGGUCGGCGUUGGGGAUCGGGAACCCCUAAGACGGGAUCCCGGCCCCGAAAUACAGUGGCGGUCUCGCCGCAGCCUCUCCUGCGCAGUAGUUUGCACAACUCGCACCGGGAGCGCGGCGCGUCCACGUCCGUAAAACGCCCAACUUUCUUAG